GUUAUGAGGUGUAAGAGUUGUGAGGUGUUACAGUUAUGAGGUGUUACAGUUGUGAAGUGUUGUAGUUAUGAGGUGUUACAGUUAUGAGGUGUUACAGUUGUGAAGUGUUGUAGUUGUGAGGUGUUACAGUUAUGAGGUGUUAUCGUUAUAUCAGUGGUCUGCUACUGUAUUAAUAAAAUAUCUACUGAAAAAAACCUGGGUGCAGGUUUUCAUUCCAACCAAGAAGAAGCCAAGAAGAAGAAGUCUAUUGAAAGCCAAGAUCAACUGAUUAAACAGGUGGAAUCAGGUGUGGCUCCUGCUUGGUUGGAAUGAAAACCUGCACCCACACCGGCCCUUUCUG
Molecule: long non-coding RNA, 340 nt
Organism: Ictalurus punctatus (channel catfish)
Lineage: Eukaryota; Metazoa; Chordata; Actinopteri; Siluriformes; Ictaluridae
Source: Ensembl